This 918-nucleotide ribosomal RNA is filed under the name uncultured crenarchaeote. RNAcentral describes it as "bacterial SSU rRNA". It matches the Rfam family "Bacterial small subunit ribosomal RNA", at positions 8 to 932 of the family's 1533-position model. Lineage: Archaea; Thermoproteati; Thermoproteota. The record is from RNAcentral.
AGAGUUUGAUCCGGCUUCAGGACAAAGCUGGGGGUGCCUCCAAGACCUGGCAGUCCCGCGAUUAAAGCCCCCUUUCGGGGGUGGAAUAAGCGGCCGAAGGGUGAAUUACCCCUUACUUAACUACCUUUCGGAACGGGAUUACCAUGCCAAAGCCCCCCUUAUACCGGAAACCCCCUCCGGGCCACCCCAACUGGUGUGGAAACCGGCUUUGGUCCCCAACCGGAGAAGGGGCUGCCGCCUAUUUACUUAUUGGGGAAGGUAUGGCUUCACCAGGGUACCAUGGGUAAGUGGAUUGAGGAGAAUGGCCACCCCCCUGGGACUGAAACACCGGCCCGAAUCCUACCGGAAGCCGCAGUUUAGAAUCUUGGCACAUGGGCCAAAGCCUGGUGGCGGCACAACGCCUGGGUUGAGGAGGGCUUCGGGUUGGUAAGCUCCUUUCCGGGAGAAGAAACAAACGAAUAAUAGGCGCGGACUGGCGGUUCCCCAGGAAUAAGGCUCCGCUAAAUUAGUGCCAGGAGGCCCGGUUAGACGGAAGAAGGGGGGCGGUGGUCGGGAUCAAUGGGGGGUAAAGCGGGGGCAGUGGCUUGGGUAGGCGGAUGGUGAAUUCCCCGGCUUCACCCCGGAACUGCCGUCGGAACUGGCUGGCCUCAAAACAGAAGGAGAAUUGAAUUUCCCGUGGUACGGUGAAUGCCGAGAAUUCGGGAAGAACCCCAGUUGGCGAAGCCGGCUCUUCUGCUGUUUCUGACCCUGAAACGCCGAAGCGUUGGGGAAGCGACCGGGAUUAGAUACCCCGGUAGUCACCGCCUGUAAACGAUGGGUUACUAGUGUUCGGGGGAUCGACCCCCUCGUGCGUAGCUACGUGUAAGUACCCCGCCUGGGACUACGCGCAGUAACUCAAAGGAUGACGAUCACUAGUGA